GGGUUGUGAGGUUAAGCGACUAAGCGUACACGGUGGAUGCCCUGGCAGUCAGAGGCGAUGAAGGACGUGCUAAUCUGCGAUAAGCGUCGGUAAGGUGAUAUGAACCGUUAUAACCGGCGAUUUCCGAAUGGGGAAACCCAGUGUGUUUCGACACACUAUCAUUAACUGAAUCCAUAGGUUAAUGAGGCGAACCGGGGGAACUGAAACAUCUAAGUACCCCGAGGAAAAGAAAUCAACCGAGAUUCCCCCAGUAGCGGCGAGCGAACGGGGAGGAGCCCAGAGCCUGAAUCAGUGUGUGUGUUAGUGGAAGCGUCUGGAAAGGCGCGCGAUACAGGGUGACAGCCCCGUACACAAAAAUGCACAUGCUGUGAGCUCGAUGAGUAGGGCGGGACACGUGGUAUCCUGUCUGAAUAUGGGGGGACCAUCCUCCAAGGCUAAAUACUCCUGACUGACCGAUAGUGAACCAGUACCGUGAGGGAAAGGCGAAAAGAACCCCGGCGAGGGGAGUGAAAAAGAACCUGAAACCGUGUACGUACAAGCAGUGGGAGCCUCUUUUAUGGGGUGACUGCGUACCUUUUGUAUAAUGGGUCAGCGACUUAUAUUCUGUAGCAAGGUUAACCGAAUAGGGGAGCCGAAGGGAAACCGAGUCUUAACUGGGCGUUAAGUUGCAGGGUAUAGACCCGAAACCCGGUGAUCUAGCCAUGGGCAGGUUGAAGGUUGGGUAACACUAACUGGAGGACCGAACCGACUAAUGUUGAAAAAUUAGCGGAUGACUUGUGGCUGGGGGUGAAAGGCCAAUCAAACCGGGAGAUAGCUGGUUCUCCCCGAAAGCUAUUUAGGUAGCGCCUCGUGAAUUCAUCUCCGGGGGUAGAGCACUGUUUCGGCAAGGGGGUCAUCCCGACUUACCAACCCGAUGCAAACUGCGAAUACCGGAGAAUGUUAUCACGGGAGACACACGGCGGGUGCUAACGUCCGUCGUGAAGAGGGAAACAACCCAGACCGCCAGCUAAGGUCCCAAAGUCAUGGUUAAGUGGGAAACGAUGUGGGAAGGCCCAGACAGCCAGGAUGUUGGCUUAGAAGCAGCCAUCAUUUAAAGAAAGCGUAAUAGCUCACUGGUCGAGUCGGCCUGCGCGGAAGAUGUAACGGGGCUAAACCAUGCACCGAAGCUGCGGCAGCGACGCUUAUGCGUUGUUGGGUAGGGGAGCGUUCUGUAAGCCUGUGAAGGUGUGCUGUGAGGCAUGCUGGAGGUAUCAGAAGUGCGAAUGCUGACAUAAGUAACGAUAAAGCGGGUGAAAAGCCCGCUCGCCGGAAGACCAAGGGUUCCUGUCCAACGUUAAUCGGGGCAGGGUGAGUCGACCCCUAAGGCGAGGCCGAAAGGCGUAGUCGAUGGGAAACAGGUUAAUAUUCCUGUACUUGGUGUUACUGCGAAGGGGGGACGGAGAAGGCUAUGUUGGCCGGGCGACGGUUGUCCCGGUUUAAGCGUGUAGGCUGGUUUUCCAGGCAAAUCCGGAAAAUCAAGGCUGAGGCGUGAUGACGAGGCACUACGGUGCUGAAGCAACAAAUGCCCUGCUUCCAGGAAAAGCCUCUAAGCAUCAGGUAACAUCAAAUCGUACCCCAAACCGACACAGGUGGUCAGGUAGAGAAUACCAAGGCGCUUGAGAGAACUCGGGUGAAGGAACUAGGCAAAAUGGUGCCGUAACUUCGGGAGAAGGCACGCUGAUAUGUAGGUGAAGCGACUUGCUCGUGGAGCUGAAAUCAGUCGAAGAUACCAGCUGGCUGCAACUGUUUAUUAAAAACACAGCACUGUGCAAACACGAAAGUGGACGUAUACGGUGUGACGCCUGCCCGGUGCCGGAAGGUUAAUUGAUGGGGUCAGCGCAAGCGAAGCUCUUGAUCGAAGCCCCGGUAAACGGCGGCCGUAACUAUAACGGUCCUAAGGUAGCGAAAUUCCUUGUCGGGUAAGUUCCGACCUGCACGAAUGGCGUAAUGAUGGCCAGGCUGUCUCCACCCGAGACUCAGUGAAAUUGAACUCGCUGUGAAGAUGCAGUGUACCCGCGGCAAGACGGAAAGACCCCGUGAACCUUUACUAUAGCUUGACACUGAACAUUGAGCCUUGAUG
RNAcentral lists this ribosomal RNA (2119 nucleotides) under Escherichia coli. Its description in RNAcentral is "partial 23S ribosomal RNA". It matches the Rfam family "Bacterial large subunit ribosomal RNA", at positions 1 to 2136 of the family's 2925-position model. Lineage: Bacteria; Pseudomonadati; Pseudomonadota; Gammaproteobacteria; Enterobacterales; Enterobacteriaceae. The record is from RNAcentral.